CCUACGGGAGGCAGCAGUGGGGAAUAUUGCACAAUGGGGGAAACCCUGAUGCAGCGACGCCGCGUGAGUGAAGAAGUAAUUCGUUAUGUACAGCUCUAUCAGCAGGGAAGAAAAUGACGGUACCUGAGUAAGAAGCCCCGGCUAACUACGUGACAGAAGCCGCGGUCAUACGUAGGGGGCAAGCGUUAUCCGGAUUUACUGGGUGUAAAGGGUGCGUAGACGGCAGGGCAAGUCUGGAGUGAAAGGCGGGGGCUCAACCCCCGGACUGCUCUGGAAACUGUACGGCUGGAGUGCAGGAGAGGUAAGUGGAAUUCCUAGUGUAGCGGUGAAAUGCGUAGAUAUUAGGAGGAACACCAGUGGCGAAGGCGGCUUACUGGACUGUAACUGACGUUGAGGCUCGAAAGCGUGGGGAGCGAACAGGAUUAGAUACCCCUGUAGUC
Molecule: ribosomal RNA, 440 nt
Filed under: uncultured bacterium
Lineage: Bacteria
Description: partial 16S ribosomal RNA
Rfam family: Bacterial small subunit ribosomal RNA
Source: RNAcentral